This 227-nucleotide long non-coding RNA is filed under the name Mytilus galloprovincialis (Mediterranean mussel). Lineage: Eukaryota; Metazoa; Mollusca; Bivalvia; Mytilida; Mytilidae. The record is from RNAcentral.
UGAAACCAUGUCCCUUAUGUUUUUUGUGCCUGCAAAAGGAAUUUCCUCCACACUCAUAAAAUUGAAAGCAAAUUUUUUUCAAAUAAAAUAAGUUCUAGCCCAUCCACUAUAUAUAUUAAAAAAAGUUCUCGCCCAUCCAAAUAUUUCCACAAAAAAAGUGCUUGCCCCGCCCCAUUUUGCACCGGCCCAUCCAUCUGAUAAAUAUUGAACGGUCCCUAAAGGAUAUU